UAAGGUCCGUGUUCGAAAGGGAAACAGCCCAGACCACCAGCUAAGGUCCCAAAAUAUAUGUUAAGUGGAAAAGGAUGUGGCGUUGCCCAGACAACUAGGAUGUUGGCUUAGAAGCAGCCAUCAUUUAAAGAGUGCGUAAUAGCUCACUAGUCGAGUGACACUGCGCCGAAAAUGUACCGGGGCUAAACAUAUUACCGAAGCUGUGGAUUGUCCUUUGGACAAUGGUAGGAGAGCGUUCUAAGGGCGUCGAAGCAUGAUCGCAAGGACAUGUGGAGCGCUUAGAAGUGAGAAUGCCGGUGUGAGUAGCGAAAGACGGGUGAG
This 321-nucleotide ribosomal RNA is filed under the name Enterococcus faecalis. RNAcentral describes it as "partial 23S ribosomal RNA". It matches the Rfam family "Bacterial large subunit ribosomal RNA", at positions 999 to 1325 of the family's 2925-position model. Lineage: Bacteria; Bacillati; Bacillota; Bacilli; Lactobacillales; Enterococcaceae. The record is from RNAcentral.